Molecule: transfer RNA, 76 nt
Filed under: Salmonella enterica subsp. enterica serovar Agona str. SA-5
Lineage: Bacteria; Pseudomonadati; Pseudomonadota; Gammaproteobacteria; Enterobacterales; Enterobacteriaceae
Description: tRNA-Val
Rfam family: tRNA
About the family: Transfer RNA (tRNA) molecules are approximately 80 nucleotides in length. Their secondary structure includes four short double-helical elements and three loops (D, anti-codon, and T loops). Further hydrogen bonds mediate the characteristic L-shaped molecular structure. tRNAs have two regions of fundamental functional importance: the anti-codon, which is responsible for specific mRNA codon recognition, and the 3' end, to which the tRNAs corresponding amino acid is attached (by aminoacyl-tRNA synthetases). tRNAs cope with the degeneracy of the genetic code in two manners: having more than one tRNA (with a specific anti-codon) for a particular amino acid; and 'wobble' base-pairing, i.e. permitting non-standard base-pairing at the 3rd anti-codon position.
Source: RNAcentral
GGGUGAUUAGCUCAGCUGGGAGAGCACCUCCCUUACAAGGAGGGGGUCGGCGGUUCGACUCCGUCAUCACCCACCA